AUGUCUGUGUGUCCCAAUGUCCAUAUGGCCAAUGUCCCCAUGUCCGUCUGUCCGUGUGUCCCCAUGUCCAUAUGGCCAAUGUCUCCGUGUCUGUGUUCCCCAUGUCCAUAUGUCUGUGUCCCAGUGUCCCUGUGUCCAUGUGUCCCAAUGUCCAUAGGGCCCAUGUCCGUCUGUCCCCAUGUCCGUGUGUCCCCCUCUCUGUGUGUCCAUGUGUCCCAAUGUCCACAGGGCCAAUUUCCUUGUGUCCUUGUGUCCCCAUGUCCAUCUGUCCCCAUGUCUAUGUGUCCCCUUGUCUGUGUGUCCAUGUGUCCCAAUGUCCAUAGGGCCCAUGUCCCCAUGUCCCUGUGUCCCAUGUCCAUGUGUCUGUCUGUCUGUCCCCAUGUCUCUGUGUCUGUCCCCAUGUCCCAAUGUCUCUGUCUCAUGUCCAUGUGUCUGUCUCCAUGUCCCCUUGCCCACGUGUCUGUCUGUCUCCAUGUCCAUGUGUCUCUCUGUCUGUCCCUGUGUCUGUCUGUCUCCAUGUCUCUGUGUCGCAUGUCCAUGUGUCUGUCUGUCCCCAUGCCCACAUGUCUGUCUGUCUGUCUGUCCCCGUGUCCCUGUGGUGUCCCCCUGGUCCCCACCUUGGUGCCUCCAGACCCUUUGAGGGAUCUCAGGGGGGACCUGGGAGGUCCCAGGGGAAUUUUGGGGGUCCCAGGGAGGUCUGGGGGGUCCCGGGUGCAUUUGUGGUGAUUUUGGGGUGGUUUUGG
Molecule: long non-coding RNA, 743 nt
Filed under: Zonotrichia albicollis (white-throated sparrow)
Lineage: Eukaryota; Metazoa; Chordata; Aves; Passeriformes; Passerellidae
Description: lncRNA (ENSZALG00000003073.1)
Source: RNAcentral